This 385-nucleotide ribosomal RNA is filed under the name uncultured bacterium. RNAcentral's name for it is "bacterial SSU rRNA". It matches the Rfam family "Bacterial small subunit ribosomal RNA", at positions 29 to 417 of the family's 1533-position model. The record is from RNAcentral.
AUUGAACGCUGGCGGAAUGCUUUACACAUGCAAGUCGAGCGGCAGCGCGGGGCAACCUGGCGGCGAGCGGCGAACGGGUGAGUAAUGCAUCGGAACGUACCCCGUCGUGGGGAAUAACUACCCGAAAGGGUAGCUAAUACCGCAUACGACCUGAGGGUGAAAGCGGGGGACCGAAAGGCCUCUCGCUAUUGGAGCGGCCGAUGUCAGAUUAGGUAGUUGGUGGGGUAAAAGCCUACCAAGCCUGUGAUCUGUAGCUGGUCUGAGAGGACGACCAGCCACACUGGGACUGAGACACGGCCCAGACUCCUACGGGAGGCAGCAGUGGGGAAUUUUGGACAAUGGGCGCAAGCCUGAUCCAGCAAUGCCGCGUGCGGGAAGAAGGCCU